This 371-nucleotide ribosomal RNA is filed under the name uncultured bacterium. RNAcentral describes it as "bacterial SSU rRNA". It matches the Rfam family "Bacterial small subunit ribosomal RNA", at positions 917 to 1291 of the family's 1533-position model. The record is from RNAcentral.
GGGCCCGCACAAGCGGUGGAGUAUGUGGUUUAAUUCGAUGCAACGCGAAGAACCUUACCAGGGUUUGACAUCUUGCGAAUCUCUUGGAAACAGGAGAGUGCCUUCGGGAACGCAGUGACAGGUGGUGCAUGGCUGUCGUCAGCUCGUGUCGUGAGAUGUUGGGUUAAGUCCCGCAACGAGCGCAACCCACGUCUUUAGUUGCCAGCAUUAGUUGGGCACUCUAGAGAGACUGCCGGUGAUAAACCGGAGAAGGUGUGGAUGACGUCAAGUCAUCAUGCCCCUUACAUCUGGGCUACACACGUACUACAAUGCUACGGACAAAGGGCAGCAAGUUCGCGAGGACAAGCAAGUCAUCCAAUAACGUGGCUCAG